AUUACUUAAUUCUUAAUUAAGAAAUAUUUCUUGAUAUUUAUUGAUUUUGUAUUUCUCAUAAUAUACCACUUAUCACAAAUAAAUUUACACAUUUUAUCUCCAUGUAAGUAUCUCAUCUCUUCCUAUAAGUUUUUCUAUUUUUCUUUUGUUUUGCUGUGUUAUUCUCCUCAGGACGCUUUAAUACCUACCACUCAGUUUUUGAAAUGCCUUUUAAAAUUUUCUCAGGCCACACUAAAAAGCAAUUACCUGUAAAGAAGUUAAUCCCUUGCAAAUUUAUUUUGUUCAUUAUAUUCAAUGCACAUGAUAAACUAAUGUUGUUAAUACAUGUACGUCUAAAUUGUAGUAAUGCGUGUAAAUAUACACAUAUUUAUGAAUUUAAACUUUGUAACCC
This 391-nucleotide long non-coding RNA is filed under the name Pan troglodytes (chimpanzee). RNAcentral's name for it is "long non-coding RNA NONPTRT004356". The record is from RNAcentral. Lineage: Eukaryota; Metazoa; Chordata; Mammalia; Primates; Hominidae.